RNAcentral lists this long non-coding RNA (751 nucleotides) under Danio rerio (zebrafish). Its description in RNAcentral is "uncharacterized LOC100537681 (LOC100537681)". The record is from RNAcentral. Lineage: Eukaryota; Metazoa; Chordata; Actinopteri; Cypriniformes; Danionidae.
GAGGACUUUUAUCUGGAGAUUCAAGUGCGCAUGCCCGGAAGAGGAUCUUCAGCGUGAUCAGAUUAAAUGUAAACUGCGUUUCUUCAGCAUUAAAUGUGCUUAUUAAGUUAAUCGAUCGAUCUGAUCGAUCUUCACAGCAUUGUUUGACUCCAAGACUCGAUUGGUACCGAUUCAGAUGAUUCACUAACUGAUUCAGGAUUCACUCGACGCGCGGACAGGAUGGUGUGUGAGCUGCUGCUGUCCUCGGUGUGGUUUCUCUUCGUCAUCUUCUGGCUGGAGACCAUCAGCGUGUGGCUCUUUCUGUGUCUGUACUAUCAGGACCGGGUCUUCUAUCACUGGGGCUCAGGGGGGUUUGCAGAUGAUCCGGAUCAGUUCCUCUACGUGCUGAGCAGGAUUGAUCUGUCAACACACAUGCAAACGUGAGGAGGUGAUGUCGUCAGUUGGGAGAGGUGUAGCCUGAGGAUGAGGGCGGGGCUGCCGUGAGGGGCGGAGCUCCGCUAGUCUGCGAUGAGGAGUUUCAGGAGGCCGAUGGGAAGGGCGUGAUGUUAUCCUGUAGUCCUGAACUCAGACUGGUGACCUGUGUGAACGGUUUAUCUGUCUAAUCUGUUAAACUAGUUGGAGAUUCGGCUGUUACUUUCACUCUAUAAAACACUAACAGAUCCUUGUCGAAUUAUUGCUUUUCUAUUUUUGUACAGAUGUGUGUUUUUGCAUCAUGAUGUUGUGUAAUAAAAGCCAUUUUACAGACUUUUCA